Long non-coding RNA from Oryzias melastigma (Indian medaka), 2549 nucleotides. RefSeq lists it as uncharacterized. The transcript is spliced from 5 exons. NCBI's taxonomy places the organism in Eukaryota, Metazoa, Chordata, Actinopteri, Beloniformes, Adrianichthyidae. The record is from RefSeq and is a predicted model, not a curated record.
AACAUGUCAGCGAUCCAAUAAGCACACUGCCCCGAGCUGGUGGUAAAGGCAAAGCUCGGCGAAAACACGGACGCACGACUGCCCGAGAAAAUACUGGAGUGCACGUGCACAAACCGUGCAGCUUUGAUUGAUGCUCAGGUGCUGUGGUCACCUGCACACCUGUGGAGACAUUAAUUACAUGUUGACAUUACAGUUCGAUGCACAAAUACACCAAAAAAAGCAUCACAAUAAAGAGAAACUGUAGACGAGUUUUUAUUAUGUGACAUUUUUCAUUACAAAACAUCACAAAAACCCUUUUCUUCUUCCUCCUCUCCUUGUUUUGAAGGCACAGUGAGGAAGAGGAGAACAAAGCAGCUAUUACUGCAAAUUGUUGCUGUCAGGCAGUAAUUUCGUGGCCUGAAUGCAAAUUGACUAAAACACCUUUUUUAAUUUGUCAGGAAGAAGUUUUACAGCAGUUCGUACGGCUUCAUCAUAAAAGGUGCAGAAGAAAAAAGUGACUCUGCUGCUUAAAGCCCCUCUGGCACCUUCAUGCCUACAAGUAUUCAGUAAUAUCUCUGCCAUAGAUGUAUGAAUUAUUGAACAGCAGGAGGGUUUUCAGCUGCGGGGUUUGUGUAAUCCCUCUUUGAUGCUAUCUGUAAAAGUAAUGACUGGAUAUUGGGCUGUGUGGGAAUGCUUUUGUACGGUGAAGACCUCCACAGGUACAGGCACUCUUUUAGAGGACGAAGACGUCCUUAACGCUGACCCGGCUCGGUUCUGAGGGAGAUGAUGAAGAGGUUAGGGAGCAGGUUCUGGUGAUAACGGAGCAAACGGGUCUAAAACAGUGAAGAGGAGGUCUGAAAACUGCUCAGUUCUGGUUUCAUAUGAAUGAAAUCCACCAGAACCUUUAGUUUUACUAGUUUCUAUCUUUAGUGAAAUUAAAUCGAGAGUCGCUCAGACUUUUGCUCCUCAUUUUUCAGAAGGUUCUCCUGAGCUUUGGUUGGUUCUGGUCCAGACAGUAACUUCAUGGAUGAGACACUAAGAAGAGAACUCGGUCCAAAAGUCUGCCGCCUCCAUCGAAGGUCCAGGUCAGAGAGGAUGGUUUUGAAAGCGCCACCAUCUCUUCAGUAUCAUCAGAACUUCCGCCUGUUAUUAUAGGGAUGUCAUGCUAUUUCUGCAUAACCCUCAGACAGACGCGUGUUGUAACGUCCCGUACACAGAACCAUCUGAGAACCGCAAACACGUCCUGAUCUGAAGGAAGACAAACAUCCCGACUUCUUUAAAGGUCGGAUUAACAUGACGCUCAGACGGAUGUGUAAAGGAACAGAAAACAAAACACCUGGAGCAAGAUCUGCAGGAUUUGUACCGCUUUGACUUUGCAGUCUGAGGCUUCAGAAGCUCCAACCAACCAAUGAAUCCUGUUUCUGGACUGUGGGAGGAAACCAGAGAGGAUCCACACAUGAUCCAUGAGAGACCUGCACACAGGAGGAACACAGCUGGGAUUUGAACCAGGACCCUCUCACUGUCAGGAAUCUGUUUCUGCGUCGCUCUCCUGCAGAUUUAAGGCAGACCAGGUGGUUUGUUUGUCAUGGAGGAACGUGGACAUCUCCUUUCAGGAGGAGCUCCUGUUCUUCAAACAUGGAUCCAGAUCCGUCUGACGGAACCGAGCGGACCUGCGGAACAUGAACCGGAUCGGCCCGUUCAUCUGCAGAACCAGUCACACCAACACAAACGACAACAACACGAUCCAGAUUUCCUGGGCUGACAAACAGGUUCCUGCUAAUAAUUUAGCACUUUUCUCUAGCACUGUUAUCUCAAGUAACCAUGACGACCACACAGAGGAGCUGCUGAUGGCGUUCUCCACACGCAGACGAUCGAAUGACAGACGUGUGUCUGCGUGGACUGUAAAUACGACUCCAUCUGCAGGUGUACGGACAGCAGAGCAGACGCUGCACCCCUGGACCGUGGAGUUUUCCAUCCAUGAGUCUUCUGAAUGAGCCGUUCAGUUUCUGUCAGGAUUCAAACACGACUCCAAACGUUCACCGAUCUGUUCACGCUGUUUUCUGAUGUCCACCAGCAGCACGCCGCUCGCCUCUUUGACCCGAAAGUUUGGGCUUUUUUAUCGCUGUGAUGCCAUCUCAAGCACAGAACCCCCCCCCCUGCAGUGAAUGACAGGUAGGGCGACUAUAGUGCUGUGGUGGAGCGGUCAACCUCUGAAUAGAAGGUCUGAGGUUCAAUUCCUGCCUUGGCUGUUCAUCCGGCUGCUAAUGUGGUCACAGUUUUCCAUCCGUGAGUGAACGUGCAUGUUUGGGCUUUAAUCUAUGUCUUAAUCCAGACAUCUUAAUCUAAGUAUAAUCUAAGUAGACGUCAUGCCACAGCUCUGUUCCUUACGCUAGAGAUGGUUGUGUUGGUGUUUACAUUGUAAAUGACAUUUCCUGUCUGUUAAUUAAAAAGGUAAAAACAGAAUUAAAGAGGAAUCCAAAUUCGAUGACAGAUUUGUUGAAUCUAACAGCAGCCUGAACAUCAGCUGGAAAUCAACAAUACGAUCCUUAAAAUGCACAAAAAAUACCAAA